Molecule: ribosomal RNA, 460 nt
Filed under: uncultured bacterium
Lineage: Bacteria
Description: partial 16S ribosomal RNA
Rfam family: Bacterial small subunit ribosomal RNA
Source: RNAcentral
CCUACGGGAGGCAGCAGUGAGGAAUAUUGGUCAAUGGGCGCGAGCCUGAACCAGCCAAGUAGCGUGAAGGAUGACUGCCCUACGGGUUGUAAACUUCUUUUAUAAAGGAAUAAAGUGAGGCACGUGUGCCUUCUUGUAUGUACUUUAUGAAUAAGGAUCGGCUAACUCCGGGCCAGCAGCCGCGGUACAACGGAGGGUCCGGAGGUUAUCCGGAUUUAUUUGGGUGAAAGGGAGCGCAGACGGCGCAGCAAGCCAGGCGUGAAAGCCCGGGGCCCAAACCCGGGACUGCUCUUGGAACUGCGUGGCUUGAGUGCACGAGGGGUAGGCGGAAUGCGUGGUGUAGCGGUGAAAUGCGUAGAUAUCAGGAAGAACCCCGGUGGCGAAGGCGGCAUGCUGGCGUGCAACUGACGUUGAGGCACGAAAGCGUGGGGAGCAAACAGGAUUAGAUACCCGAGUAGUC